UUCCGCUGCCACAAUAUCUUCUAACAUCAAUUAUGUGCCCAUGCUUAAUGGGACUAAUUUCAAGGAAUGGAAAAGGCACUUGAUGAUAGUGCUUGGCUGUAUGGAAUUAGACCUUGCACUUAGGGCGGACCAACCCGCACCUCUCACUGCAGAUAGCGCCCCUGAAGAUAAAAGGGAUUUUGAGAGGUGGGACCGUUCUAACCGCAUGAGUCUAAUGAUCAUGAAACACAGCAUUCCGGAUGCCUUUAGGGGUCCAGAUUCUGAGGAGAUUACUAGUGCUAAAGAUUUCCUUGACGAAAUUGAACAACGUUUUGCGAAAAACGAUAAGGUUGAAAUGACGUCACUUCUAACUUCUUUGAUGUCUAUGAAGUAUAAGGGUCAAGGAAACGUAAGGGAGUACAUUAUGGAGAUGUUUCAUCUUGCUUCAAAACUCAAGGCACUUAAGAUUGAGCUUUCUGAAGAAUUGCUCGUUCUUAUGGUCUUAGUUUCGCUUCCACCACAGUUUAACUAAUUUAAAAUUAGUUACAACUGUCAAAAGGAGAAAUGGUUUCUAAACGAGCUCAUUUCUCAUUGUGUGCAAGAGGAAGAAAGGUUGAAGCGUGAUAAGACUGAAAGUGCUCACUAUACUAGUACCUCCAAAGAUAAGGGCAAGAAAAGAAAGUAUACGAAUGAAGCUGCUAAGGGUCCGACUCAAAAGACACAGCAACAAACUCAAAAAGCUUGUUUCUUUUGUAACAAGUCUGACCAUAUGAAGAAAGAAUGUCUCAAAUAUCGCGCUUGGCGUGCAAAGAAAGGGUUGUCUGAGCUGCCGAAAGCCGAGUGAUGAUGAAAGACACAUCUUUAUGGGCGAUGGAAAUUCGGUGGAAGUGGAAGCAAUUGGACAUUUUAGGUUGUUAUUAGAAACUGGUUUCUAUUUGGAUUUGAAAGACACAUUUGUUGUACCGUCUUUUAGACGGAAUUUGGUUUCUGUUUCUUUGUUGGACAAAUUUGGUUAUUGUUGUUCAUUUGGAAAC
Long non-coding RNA from Salvia miltiorrhiza (redroot sage), 1013 nucleotides. RefSeq lists it as uncharacterized. NCBI's taxonomy places the organism in Eukaryota, Viridiplantae, Streptophyta, Magnoliopsida, Lamiales, Lamiaceae. The transcript has 2 exons. The record is from RefSeq and is a predicted model, not a curated record.